CCAGGAGCUUGCUCCUGGGGAUUAGUGGCGAACGGGUGAGUAACACGUGAGCAAUCUGCCCUUGACUCUGGGAUAAGCGCUGGAAACGGCGUCUAAUACCGGAUACGACCCUCGGAGGCAUCUCCUGGGGGUGGAAAGAACUUCGGUCAAGGAUGAGCUCGCGGCCUAUCAGCUUGUUGGUGAGGUAAUAGCUCACCAAGGCGACGACGGGUAGCCGGCCUGAGAGGGUGACCGGCCACACUGGGACUGAGACACGGCCCAGACUCCUACGGGAGGCAGCAGUGGGGAAUAUUGCACAAUGGGCGCAAGCCUGAUGCAGCAACGCCGCGUGAGGGACGACGGCCUUCGGGUUGUAAACCUCUUUUAGCAGGGAAGAAGCGAGAGUGACGGUACCUGCAGAAAAAGCACCGGCUAACUACGUGCCAGCAGCCGCGGUAAUACGUAGGGUGCAAGCGUUGUCCGGAAUUAUUGGGCGUAAAGAGCUCGUAGGCGGUCUGUCGCGUCUGCUGUGAAAACCCGAGGCUCAACCUCGGGCUUGCAGUGGGUACGGGCAGACUAGAGUGCGGUAGGGGAGAUUGGAAUUCCUGGUGUAGCGGUGGAAUGCGCAGAUAUCAGGAGGAACACCGAUGGCGAAGGCAGAUCUCUGGGCCGUAACUGACGCUGAGGAGCGAAAGCGUGGGGAGCAAACAGGCUUAGAUACCCUGGUAGUCCACGCC
RNAcentral lists this ribosomal RNA (716 nucleotides) under Agrococcus sp. Its description in RNAcentral is "bacterial SSU rRNA". It matches the Rfam family "Bacterial small subunit ribosomal RNA", at positions 72 to 801 of the family's 1533-position model. The record is from RNAcentral. Lineage: Bacteria; Bacillati; Actinomycetota; Actinomycetes; Micrococcales; Microbacteriaceae.